GAUGAAGAACGCAGCGAAAUGCGAUAAGUAAUGCGAAUUGCAGAAUUUCCGUGAGUCAUCGAAUCUUUGAACGCACAUUGCGCCCACUGGUAUUCCGGUGGGCAUGCCUGUUCGAGCGUCAUAUUAACCACUCCCGCUUGCGGGGUCUUGGGCUUCGCCUCCGGGCGGGCCUUAAAAUCAGUGGCGGUGCCGUCGGGCUCUACGCGUAGUAAAUUUUCUCGCGAUAGGGUCCCGGUGGAUGCUUGCCAACAACCCCCGACUUCUUAAGGUUGACCUCGGAUCAGGUAGGGAUACCCGCUGAACUUAAGCAUAUCAAUAAGCGGAGGA
This 327-nucleotide unclassified non-coding RNA is filed under the name soil metagenome. RNAcentral's name for it is "partial contains 5.8S ribosomal RNA, internal transcribed spacer 2, and large subunit ribosomal RNA". The stretch from base 1 to 121 matches the Rfam family "5.8S ribosomal RNA", at positions 35 to 154 of the family's 154-position model. The record is from RNAcentral.